AACGAACGCUGGCGGCAUGCCUAACACAUGCAAGUCGAACGAGACCUUCGGGUCUAGUGGCGCACGGGUGCGUAACGCGUGGGAACCUGCCCUUAGGUUCGGAAUAACUCCCCGAAAGGGGUGCUAAUACCGGAUAAUGUCUUCGGACCAAAGAUUUAUCGCCUUUGGAUGGGCCCGCGUUGGAUUAGCUAGUUGGUUGGGUAAAAGCCUACCAAGGCGACGAUCCAUAGCUGGUCUGAGAGGAUGAUCAGCCACACUGGGACUGAGACACGGCCCAGACUCCUACGGGAGGCAGCAGUGGGGAAUAUUGGACAAUGGGCGAAAGCCUGACCCAGCAAUGCCGCGUGAGUGAUGAAGGCCUUAGGGUUGUAAAGCUCUUUUACCCGGGAUGAUAAUGACAGUACCGGGAGAAUAAGCUCCGGCUAACUCCGUG
This 433-nucleotide ribosomal RNA is filed under the name uncultured bacterium. RNAcentral's name for it is "partial 16S ribosomal RNA". It matches the Rfam family "Bacterial small subunit ribosomal RNA", at positions 29 to 507 of the family's 1533-position model. The record is from RNAcentral.